GGCGGGUGAGAAGAAAAUGAAUCAAUGUGAAAAAGAUCUAAAGCUGCAUUCGUAUGAAAAACUAAAAAAAGACUGAGAUUUUUAUGGAAAAACUAAUGUUCUUUUUGGAGAAAAAAAUUAUUUCCAUACUGUAUGUUUUCCUGCAGUUUUCUUUUUUUUUGGUUUCUUCUCCUUCUUCUUUAUGUCUCCUUUUUUUCUUUUCUUCUUCAUUUAAAGUAAACUUGAAAGUUCACUACGGGAAUUGGCGCGCCAUCUUGCUUCUGGCGCCGACGACUAUAAAAAAGAAAACCUGCGCGUUCCGGCCCAGAAGCAGUCCACGCCAGUUCCUCUGAAAAAUAAGACUACUUCCAAACAGUUUUGAAUAAAAACUGUCUGAUCAAUAUUAGACUCUCUCCGAGCUCUCCAAUGGUUUUUACAUUUUUCAGGCAGUGUAAAGUUUUUUGAUAAGGCCAUUUUAAGUGGCUCUGUUUCUCAUUCAAAGUCUAUAUAUAGAACCACUUUUUCUAGAGUAGUUUAAAGGUAAAAAAUAAAAAAAGACAUUUGCCCUGUUUGGGUGGGAGAAAUGCUACCUACUUGUGUCACCUUUUGCUGAACUGACUCACAGAUAGACAAUCCGUGGUUUAAAUGCACAUGAUGAAAUGACCUAUAUUUUCUACUGUUUAAAUGUAUAGAGGAAAAAAAAAUACUAAGAUACCUGUAACCUGCGUUAACGUCGGUGCUUCUCGUGAGUUUAGUUGUGGUUUCAUCACAAGUCUAACGGUCUUAAAUGUCUCAUGUUUUUCAAGACUAAAAAAUCAGUUUACUUGAACAAUAGACAAAGCCUUUCAUAUUACUAUAACAGUUACUUUGUUGUGUCUUUACUUUUUGUUUCUUGUUUUUUAAGGAGUCCCUAUUUGCUAAAUUUCUUGUUGGUUUAUUAGCUAUAUAAAAUUCCUAAAAAUAUAUAUAAAUAUAAAUAUAAAUAUAUAUAUAUAUAUAUAAUGUCAGCUUGUGAAGCAUCAAUGUCAUUAUUAUUUUAUUUCUCUCGUGGGAAACAAAUAUUUAGAUGUGUUUUGUUGUUCGGCAAAAUGUCUUAUAAAGAAAAAAGACAACAUCAGUGGAGUUCAGUGCCAAAUUCUGAAGGUACUUCCUGCCUAGCGCGUCAGUGUACUUCUUGUGAAAUGAUUUGAUAACAUGGGUAUUUUAUUAUAAGUGUUUUGUAUGGAUCCCUCAUAUUUAAAAAUAUAGAUUUAAAAAAGAGUUUGUUAACUUGCUAUUCUGUGGUCUUGUUGCCUGAAAAUUGUCAUGUUUGCUUUUUUUUUUUCUUUGUAAAGAUGUAAAAAAAAAAAAGAAGAAAAACAAGGAAAAAAAGUGCCCAUGUGUCAUAUAUGUAUAUAUCUAUAUCUAUACACGCGCGCACGCGCGCGCACACACGUUCUCGUGCAGAACUCACAGUUUUACUUUCUUGUGCAUGAGAGCCCCCCCGAGUGUGAACGCCUCCACAGCGCCCGCACACACACACACACACACACACACACACACUUACAACACGCGCGCACACAGAAACGGGACUCGCGCACGGAAACUUUUCAGCCAUUUGUGCGCCGCUUCUCCUCGUGAAGCCUCACCGCCGACCUUUGCACUCCCGCGCUUUCUCUCUCGGCUCCACGUGUGUCCAAAACCUGAGGAUCAGUAAUUUUGUGUCCUCCACCCAGAGGAGCGCGUGGCUUUUGAUGACGUAAGCACAGGUCAGGGCUCACAGACGGCCCCGCCUCCUGAGGAGGAGGAGGAGGAGGAGGAAGAAAAGCACACUCUAUUUACUCCUUUUUAUUAUUUCACAACACGCUCUUUUUUCUGUUUUUAACGGGCAAAACAAUCACGUAGAGAUGCCAAAGUGUGUCAUUGACAUUCUCGUAGUCGAGCCGUUUACAAGGCAAAGUGUUGUUGAGUUUGUUCAACUGCCCCCCCCCCCCCCCCCCUCAAAAGCCCAGUUUACGGUCUGUGGGAAAAAAAGCAGCAUUAUUUUCUACAGAAGCUCACCAGUGGCCUUAACCAGGGAGCGUUGUACCAGUAUUACAAAGAGUCCAAGAUGUCGUCAGUCGCUUAGUGACGUGUCAGCCGAGCUUCACGUCCGUGGUCAGUUUCCCACAGUCGGGCUUCGAUUUGUAUUCAUUCUCCUGUUCCGAUUUGCACAAAGCGGAGAAGGGUGUUUUAUUGUGACGGUUUGGUCGUGGUCUUUGGAAACGGGGAGAGGCGUCUUAUUGUGAAGGUCUGGUCGUGGUCUUUGGAAUUGGGGAGAGGCGUCUUAUUGUGAAAGUUUGGUCGUGGUCAUUAGAAACGGGGAGAGGCGUCUUAUUGUGAAAGUUUGGUCGUGGUCAUUAGAAACGGGGAGAGGCGUCUUAUUGUGACGGUCUGGUCGUGGUCUUUGGAUUUGGGGAGAGGCGUCUUAUUGUGAAGGUCUGGUCGUGGUCUUUGGAAACGGGGAGAGGCGUCUUAUUGUGACGGUCUGGUCGUGGGUCAUUAGAAACGGGGAGAGGCGUCUUAUUGCAAUGGCGCUGGGGGAAAUAAGAUAGAAAGCGCGUGUUGAUUUGGAGAGGAACGGGGGGGGGGGGGCCCGUCUGCCGGGCCACCCCAUUGGGGAAAAAAACAGCUUUUACUGGGUUCACCUUGAAAAAAAAAUAAACGAUCCGGCUCCCUGUGUUCUCCCGGGGGGGGGAGACUUUUUGUUGGGCUAAAUGCCGGAACUUUUCCCAACAUGGGCCGGGCCCCACACCCCAAAAAAGCCACAACUACCUGGGCGAAACUUCCCACCUCGACUCCCCAUCUGUGUAGCGCGCAGGAGGUUCGUAGGCUGCCCCCCCCCCCCCCCCCAAAAGAACUACAUUCCCAAAGUGACACCGGGCCUGACGUGAACAGCCUUGCUUUGUUUUCGGAAGCACAAAAGAGGGGCGUGGGGGGGGGGGGGGUUGAGGUCUGUGGGGGGGUCAAAGCCUCAAUCGUCGUAAUCUCUUUUAACUUGUCACGUGUUCACUUCUCUGUUCUCUUUUCUUUCUUAAUUAUCUUAAGCACUAUUUAUCAAACGAUGAAAUCUGAAAGGAAAAAAAAACGUGUUGUUUCUUUGCAUUUUGGCUUCUGUCGAGUUUUUUGGGGAAAAAAUGUUGUGUGUGUUUUUUCCGUGCCGUAAAAAAAAGAAAAUACGCAAAAUAGCUUGUUGUCUGUAGAAAUGAUCCAAAUUGUUUGUUUUCUGUUUCUUUUAAUUCUCCAAACAGAAAGCGGGUUCUUGUCGAUGCAUUUCAGUGGAUCCUGUGAGCGUGAUGUGUGUUUGUUUGUCACCAGGUGGGAUUUCAAAAGUACAACAAAUGCAGGCUUUCCUAUUUCUACGACUGAUUGUACUUAUGCAUUUUGUACCAGUGCAACUUUUUAUACUGGAGAUUAAAGGAUACAACAACAACAAAAAAGAAUCUUAGCAAAUAGCUGUCUGGCCUUGUGGUGUGGCCCCCCCUCCUAGAAGAUUUCUAGAAGAUCUUUAUUUCAUUCACUUCUUUUUUCCCCUGUGAGCGUCGUUCUUUGUUUCUUCCUUCCUUUCUUUCUCCCCCCCCCCCCCCCACAAUAACACAGAGGGUAGGUGAGUGUCAGAUCUUUUCAAUUUUGCUUUUAAAAUAGUUCUAGCGAGUUUGUCUUUACAUAAGCGGUAAGUUUCAUUUGACUUCUGUAUUGUGCCGUCUACACGAUAAGACAAUUAUAGCAAAAGAAGGAAUAGAAAUAUUUAGUCACCUUCAGUGGAUUAAUGUGUUAGUUUAAUAAAGAGAUCAACUAAUUAGAAACUUUUUGCUUUUAGCUGUUUAGAUUUUUCCGGUUUCUCUGUCCUUCUCUGUGAACUAACUGUGUAGCUGAAGCAGUCAGAAUUAUUUUUGUAAAUGUAUGUUCUUGUGUGAUGCAGUUUUUUGCUUCUGUCUCCUAUAUUAAAC
This is a long non-coding RNA of Gasterosteus aculeatus aculeatus (three-spined stickleback), 3947 nucleotides long. Lineage: Eukaryota; Metazoa; Chordata; Actinopteri; Perciformes; Gasterosteidae. The record is from Ensembl.